RNAcentral lists this transfer RNA (73 nucleotides) under Capitella teleta. Its description in RNAcentral is "tRNA-Phe for anticodon GAA". It matches the Rfam family "tRNA". From Rfam's summary of the family: Transfer RNA (tRNA) molecules are approximately 80 nucleotides in length. Their secondary structure includes four short double-helical elements and three loops (D, anti-codon, and T loops). The record is from Rfam by way of RNAcentral. Lineage: Eukaryota; Metazoa; Annelida; Polychaeta; Capitellidae.
GCCUAGAUAGCUCAGUUGGGAGAGCGUUAGACUGAAGAUCUAAAGGUCCCCGGUUCUAUCCCGGGUCUGGGCA